UAGGGAAUCUUCGGCAAUGGGGGCAACCCUGACCGACCAACGCCGCGGGAGUGAAGAAGGUUUUCGGAUCGUAAAGCUCUGUUGUAAGAGAAGAACGUGUGUGAGAGUGGAAAGUUCACACAGUGACGGUAACUUACCAGAAAGGGACGGCUAACUACGUGCCAGCAGCCGCGGUAAUACGUAGGUCCCGAGCGUUGUCCGGAUUUAUUGGGCGUAAAGCGGGCGCAGGCGGUUUAAUAAGUCUGAAGUUAAAGGCAGUGGCUUAACCAUUGUUCGCUUUGGAAACUGUUAAGCUUGAGUGCCGAAGGGGGGAGUGGAAAUCCAUGUGUGGCGAGGAAAUGCGUAGAUAUAUGGAGGGAAACCGGUGGCGAAAGGGGCUCUCUGGUCUGUAACUAACGCUGAGGGUCGAAAGCGUGGGGGGCAAACAGG
This 429-nucleotide ribosomal RNA is filed under the name bacterium. Its description in RNAcentral is "partial 16S ribosomal RNA". It matches the Rfam family "Bacterial small subunit ribosomal RNA", at positions 355 to 776 of the family's 1533-position model. The record is from RNAcentral.